Trematomus bernacchii (emerald rockcod) is the source of this 314-nucleotide long non-coding RNA. RefSeq lists it as uncharacterized. Lineage: Eukaryota; Metazoa; Chordata; Actinopteri; Perciformes; Nototheniidae. The transcript has 3 exons. The record is from RefSeq and is a predicted model, not a curated record.
AAGCCCUCAGGUGCUGUCCCUGUCGCUGCCUCACUACGCUGAUCCUGGAUCAGUUAUUUCGUGCAGCUAUCACAGUUUGAGCCACUGUCUUCGCACAAACAUAUUCCCAGGUGCUAAUUAACAUGGAAAUCCCUCUCCAAGGACUCUUACGUUAGCCACCCUCGGACAGCUCGGCCUACGGACCCUCAUCUCUGGUACGGCCACAAAACCGACGACCUGGUCCAGUGGACAGAAAGAAACAUCAUGAACCAGAAACUCGACAAGAUGCUGACGGAAAUGAGAAAAAAGGCCCCCGCAAAAUGAGGUCCUGCUUC